This 406-nucleotide ribosomal RNA is filed under the name uncultured bacterium. RNAcentral's name for it is "partial 16S ribosomal RNA". It matches the Rfam family "Bacterial small subunit ribosomal RNA", at positions 29 to 526 of the family's 1533-position model. The record is from RNAcentral.
AUUGAACGCUGGCGGCAGGCCUAACACAUGCAAGUCGAACGAGUGGCGGACGGGUGAGUAAUGUCUGGGACACUGCUUGAUGGAGGGGGAUAACUACUGGAAACGGUAGCUAAUAACGCAUACCAUCAGAUGUGCCCAGAUGGGAUAAGCUAGUUGGGGGGGUAACGGCUCACCAAGGCGACGAUCCCUAGCUGGUCAGAGAGGAUGACCAGCCAAACUGGAAAUGAGACACGGUCCAGACGCCUACGGGAGGCAGCAGUGGGGAAUAUUGCACAAUGGGCGCAAGCCUGAUGCAGCCAUGCCGCGUGGAUGAAGAAGGCCUUCGGGUUGUAAAGUACUUUCAGCGGGGAGGCGUUACCCGCAGAAGAAGCACCGGCUAAGAGCGUGCCAGCAGCCGCGGUAAUUC